RNAcentral lists this ribosomal RNA (549 nucleotides) under uncultured Rhizophagus. RNAcentral's name for it is "SSU rRNA". It matches the Rfam family "Eukaryotic small subunit ribosomal RNA", at positions 548 to 1098 of the family's 1831-position model. The record is from RNAcentral. Lineage: Eukaryota; Fungi; Glomeromycota; Glomeromycetes; Glomerales; Glomeraceae.
UUGGAGGGCAAGUCUGGUGCCAGCAGCCGCGGUAAUUCCAGCUCCAAUAGCGUAUAUUAAAGUUGUUGCAGUUAAAAAGCUCGUAGUUGAAUUUCGGGGUUAGUAGGUUGGUCAUGCCACUGGUAUGUACUGAUCUUACUGAUUCCUCCUUCCUGAUGAACCAUAAUGCCAUUAAUUUGGUGUUGCGGGGAGACUGGACUGUUACUUUGAAAAAAUUAGAGUGUUUAAAGCAGGCUAACGCUUGAAUACAUUAGCAUGGAAUAAUGAAAUAGGACGUUCGAUCCUAUUUUGUUGGUUUCUAGGAUUGACGUAAUGAUUAAUAGGGAUAGUUGGGGGCAUUAGUAUUCAAUUGUCAGAGGUGAAAUUCUUGGAUUUAUUGAAGACUAACUACUGCGAAAGCAUUUGCCAAGGAUGUUUUCAUUAAUCAAGAACGAAAGUUAGGGGAUCGAAGACGAUCAGAUACCGUCGUAGUCUUAACCAUAAACUAUGCCGACUAGGGAUCGGAUGAUGUUAAUUUUUUAAUAACUCAUUCGGCGCCUUACGGGAAAC